Molecule: ribosomal RNA, 602 nt
Filed under: Colletotrichum fragariae
Lineage: Eukaryota; Fungi; Ascomycota; Sordariomycetes; Glomerellales; Glomerellaceae
Description: eukaryotic LSU rRNA
Rfam family: 5.8S ribosomal RNA (bases 231-384)
Source: RNAcentral
UGGAAGUAAAAAAUCGUAACAAGGUCUCCGUUGGUGAACCAGCGGAGGGAUCAUUACUGAGUUUACGCUCUACAACCCUUUGUGAACAUACCUACAACUGUUGCUUCGGCGGGUAGGGUCCCCGUGACCCUCCCGGCCUCCCGCCCCCCCGGGCGGGUCGGCGCCCGCCGGAGGAUAACCAAACUCUGAUUUAACGACGUUUCUUCUGAGUGGUACAAGCAAAUAAUCAAAACUUUUAACAACGGAUCUCUUGGUUCUGGCAUCGAUGAAGAACGCAGCGAAAUGCGAUAAGUAAUGUGAAUUGCAGAAUUCAGUGAAUCAUCGAAUCUUUGAACGCACAUUGCGCCCGCCAGCAUUCUGGCGGGCAUGCCUGUUCGAGCGUCAUUUCAACCCUCAAGCUCUGCUUGGUGUUGGGGCCCUACAGCUGAUGUAGGCCCUCAAAGGUAGUGGCGGACCCUCCCGGAGCCUCCUUUGCGUAGUAACUUUACGUCUCGCACUGGGAUCCGGAGGGACUCUUGCCGUAAAACCCCCCAAUUUUCCAAAGGUGACCUCGGAUCAGGUAGGAAUACCCGCUGAACUUAAGCAUAUCAAUAGGCCGGAGG